Molecule: non-coding RNA, 27 nt
Filed under: Mus musculus (house mouse)
Lineage: Eukaryota; Metazoa; Chordata; Mammalia; Rodentia; Muridae
Source: RNAcentral
UAGAAAAUUUUUCUUUUGGCAGCUACA